GAAAUGCGAUACGUAAUGUGAAUUGCAGAAUCCCGUGAAUCAUCAAAUUUUCGAACGCACAUUGCGCUCUUGGGUAUUCCUGAGAGCAUGCCUGUUUGAGUGUCAGUAUCAAACCUCAAACCCUGAUGGGUUUGGACUUGGGCCUUCUCAGAUGGAAACGUCUGAGUUGGAUGCUUAAAUGUAUAGGAGGAUUAGCUAUAGUAACCCUUUGUUAGGCGUGAUAAUGGUGUAGAUUACAUCUUUAGCUUCGUCUAUGCUGGGGUGAAGUAUGCUAAGUUUUUCUCCGAAAUCGCCCACCUCGGGCAACGACUAGAGGUUUUCGGACCUCUUGAAACUUGACCUCAAAUCAAGCAAGAUUACCCGCUGAACUUAA
RNAcentral lists this unclassified non-coding RNA (373 nucleotides) under uncultured Saccharomycetales. RNAcentral's name for it is "sequence contains ITS1". The stretch from base 1 to 105 matches the Rfam family "5.8S ribosomal RNA", at positions 50 to 154 of the family's 154-position model. Lineage: Eukaryota; Fungi; Ascomycota; Saccharomycetes. The record is from RNAcentral.